GACGGGGCCCGCACAAGCAGUGGAGUAUGUGGUUUAAUUCGAAGCAACGCGAAGAACCUUACCAGGGCUUGACAUCCCUUGAAGCAGCUAGAGAUAGCUGUGUCCUUCGGGACAAGGAGACAGGUGGUGCAUGGUUGUCGUCAGCUCGUGUCGUGAGAUGUUGGGUUAAGUCCCGCAACGAGCGCAACCCCUGUGGUUAGUUGCCAGCAAGUAGCGUUGGGCACUCUAGCCAGACUGCCGGUGAUAAAUCGGAGGAAGGUGGGGACGACGUCAAAUCAUCAUGCCCUUUAUGUCCUGGGCUACACACGUACUACAAUGGCCGUUACAACGGGAAGCGAAGGAGCAAUCCGGAGCAAAUCCCUUAAAGGCGGUCCCAGUUCAGAUUGUGGGCUGAAACUCGCCCACAUGAAGGCGGAAUUGCUAGUAACCGCGAAUCAGCAGGUCGCGGUGAAUACGUUCCCGGGCCUU
RNAcentral lists this ribosomal RNA (468 nucleotides) under uncultured bacterium. Its description in RNAcentral is "bacterial SSU rRNA". It matches the Rfam family "Bacterial small subunit ribosomal RNA", at positions 916 to 1381 of the family's 1533-position model. The record is from RNAcentral.